GAUGAACGCUGGCGGCGUGCCUAAUACAUGCAAGUCGAGCGAACAGACGAGGAGCUUGCUCCUCUGACGUUAGCGGCGGACGGGUGAGUAACACGUGGAUAACCUACCUAUAAGACUGGGAUAACUUCGGGAAACCGGAGCUAAUACCGGAUAAUAUAUUGAGCCGCAUGGUUCAAUAGUGAAAGACGGUUUUGCUGUCACUUUUAGAUGGAUCCGCGCCGCAUUAGCUAGUUGGUAAGGUAACGGCUUACCAAGGCAACGAUGCGUAGCCGACCUGAGAGGGUGAUCGGCCACACUGGAACUGAGACACGGUCCAGACUCCUACGGGAGGCAGCAGUAGGGAAGCUUCCGCAAUGGGCGAAAGCCUGACGGAGCAACGCCGCGUGAGUGAUGAAGGUCUUCGGAUCGUAAAACUCUGUUAUUAGGGAAGAACAAAUGUGUAAGUAACUAUGCACGUCUUGACGGUACCUAAUCAGAAAGCCACGGCUAACUACGUG
Molecule: ribosomal RNA, 497 nt
Filed under: uncultured bacterium
Lineage: Bacteria
Description: partial 16S ribosomal RNA
Rfam family: Bacterial small subunit ribosomal RNA
Source: RNAcentral